UACCAGCACCCCGAGUGGUCGGGACGAUUAUUGGGCCUAAAGCAUCCGUAGCCGGUUCUACAAGUCUUCCGUUAAAUCCACCUGCUUAACAGAUGGGCUGCGGAGGAUACUAUGGAGCUAGGAGGCGGGAGAGGCAAGCGGUACUCAGUGGGUAGGGGUAAAAUCCGUUGAUCCAUUGAAGACCACCAGUGGCGAAGGCGGCUUGCCAGAAUGCGCUCGACGGUGAGGGAUGAAAGCUGGGGGAGCAAACCGU
RNAcentral lists this ribosomal RNA (253 nucleotides) under uncultured bacterium. RNAcentral describes it as "partial 16S ribosomal RNA". It matches the Rfam family "Archaeal small subunit ribosomal RNA", at positions 474 to 727 of the family's 1478-position model. The record is from RNAcentral.